CGGAACGGGUGAGUAAUGCGUGACCAACCUGCCCCAUGCUCCAGAAUAGCUCUUGGAAACGGGUGGUAAUGCUGGAUGCUCCAACUUGACGCAUGUCUUGUUGGGAAAGUGUUUAGUGGCAUGGGAUGGGGUCGCGUCCUAUCAGCUUGUAGGCGGGGUAAUGGCCCACCUAGGCUUCGACGGGUAGCCGGCCUGAGAGGGCGGACGGCCACAUUGGGACUGAGAUACGGCCCAGACUCCUACGGGAGGCAGCAGC
This 256-nucleotide ribosomal RNA is filed under the name uncultured Gardnerella sp. RNAcentral's name for it is "partial 16S ribosomal RNA". It matches the Rfam family "Bacterial small subunit ribosomal RNA", at positions 98 to 355 of the family's 1533-position model. Lineage: Bacteria; Bacillati; Actinomycetota; Actinomycetes; Bifidobacteriales; Bifidobacteriaceae. The record is from RNAcentral.